AUUGAACGCUGGCGGCAGGCCUAACACAUGCAAGUCGAGCGGAUGAGUGGAGCUUGCUCCAUGAUUCAGCGGCGGACGGGUGAGUAAUGCCUAGGAAUCUGCCUGGUAGUGGGGGACAACGUUUCGAAAGGAACGCUAAUACCGCAUACGUCCUACGGGAGAAAGCAGGGGACCUUCGGGCCUUGCGCUAUCAGAUGAGCCUAGGUCGGAUUAGCUAGUUGGUGAGGUAAUGGCUCACCAAGGCGACGAUCCGUAACUGGUCUGAGAGGAUGAUCAGUCACACUGGAACUGAGACACGGUCCAGACUCCUACGGGAGGCAGCAGUGGGGAAUAUUGGACAAUGGGCGAAAGCCUGAUCCGGCCAUGCCGCGUGUGUGAAGAAGGUCUUCGGAUUGUAAAGCACUUUAAGUUGGGAGGAAGGGCAGUAAGUUAAUACCUUGCUGUUUUGACGUUACCGACAGAAUAAGCACCGGCUAACUUCGUGCC
RNAcentral lists this ribosomal RNA (486 nucleotides) under uncultured bacterium. Its description in RNAcentral is "bacterial SSU rRNA". It matches the Rfam family "Bacterial small subunit ribosomal RNA", at positions 30 to 509 of the family's 1533-position model. The record is from RNAcentral.